GAUGAACGCUGGCGGCGUGCCUAAUACAUGCAAGUCGAGCGAACAGAUGAGGAGCUUGCUCCUCUGACGUUAGCGGCGGACGGGUGAGUAACACGUGGAUAACCUACCUAUAAGACUGGGAUAACUUCGGGAAACCGGAGCUAAUACCGGAUAAUAUAUUGAACCGCAUGGUUCAAUAGUGAAAGACGGUUUUGCUGUCACUUAUAGAUGGAUCCGCGCCGCAUUAGCUAGUUGGUAAGGUAACGGCUUACCAAGGCAACGAUGCGUAGCCGACCUGAGAGGGUGAUCGGCCACACUGGAACUGAGACACGGUCCAGACUACUACGGGAGGCAGCAGUAGGGAAUCUUCCGCAAUGGGCGAAAGCCUGACGGAGCAACGCCGAGUGAGUGAUGAAGGUCUUCGGAUCGUAAAACUCUGUUAUUAGGGAAGAACAAAUGUGUAAGUAACUAUGCACGUCUUGACGGUACCUAAUCAGAAAGCCACGGCUAACUACGUG
RNAcentral lists this ribosomal RNA (497 nucleotides) under uncultured bacterium. RNAcentral describes it as "partial 16S ribosomal RNA". It matches the Rfam family "Bacterial small subunit ribosomal RNA", at positions 28 to 507 of the family's 1533-position model. The record is from RNAcentral.